UAUGUCUAUAUCCCAUUCCGAUUCUUGUUUUCUUCCCCAUUUCUUUCUCCCCCGUUCCCCUUCCAACCUGCGAUUUCCAGGGUUUCGGCCACAUCUCCAACCGACGAUGGCGGCGUGAUAUGCGACGACCGCUUGAUCUCCGGCCGUGGAAGGUUUUCGAUUGUAUUGUUUCCCUGGUUUAUGGCUAUCCAAGAUAACUCCUCGAUCCUACAAAGCCAAUGAAUAAGAUAACUCAGAGACUCUUUGACGAGAUGACUAAUCAAAAUGGUAUAUCCAAAUCUUUGCUAAGAAAUCAACACCAAGUACAUUGUUCAGGAUUUCAUUGUGAUUUCUUCAAUAAUAUGUUUUUAAUUUUUAGUUUCUAUUUUUUUUAAUGAAAUGAGAAUUGAAUUAUUUGUAGAAAAUAUUGACUUUCAUGCGUAUUAAUCAGUACAUGUUUUCAAUUGCAGACAUGUGUUCUUAUAGUCCGUAUACAUUGUGAAGGUUGUAAGGAUAGGUCAGGAAGAAGGUGCAGAAGGUUCAAGGUAAGUUGUGGGGUUCAGUUGUAUUUUAUUCGUUGUUUAAUUGGUUUAUUGUUUGGCUGGGUUCAUGUGGUACAUGGAAGCAAUAAAUAACAUAUUGUUGUAGGAGCUUUGUUGAUUCUUUGAAAAUGUGAACUCAAUUUUACUCUGUUUCAAUUAUGUUUCAUAUUCUGUUAUUUACUUGAGUUAUGCUUGUAUUGUAAUUCAAAGAAGGAAAAUGUUUGUCUGGCAAACUCUAUAUCUGAAAUGCAUAAAUUUGGAGCAAUCUAUAAUAUCAAAUGGUUCUCAUACUUUGGCACAUGAAUCCAAUGAUUUGGGUAAAAAAGAUAAAAAGAAGAAAGGAACAAAAAGAGGAAGGCACUUUGAUAGAGAUUCUCGAGCUACUAAUCCAGAGGUCUCAAUUUGGUGUGAUCUCACUGUAGUUGAAGACAACUGUAUUUGUUCACCUCUUUUCGGUAUUCCU
This is a long non-coding RNA of Zingiber officinale, 984 nucleotides long. RefSeq lists it as uncharacterized. Lineage: Eukaryota; Viridiplantae; Streptophyta; Magnoliopsida; Zingiberales; Zingiberaceae. The transcript is spliced from 4 exons. The record is from RefSeq and is a predicted model, not a curated record.